Molecule: ribosomal RNA, 253 nt
Filed under: uncultured bacterium
Lineage: Bacteria
Description: partial 16S ribosomal RNA
Rfam family: Bacterial small subunit ribosomal RNA
Source: RNAcentral
UACAGAGACUGCAAGCGUUGUUCGGAUUCAUUGGGCGUAAAGGGUGCGCAGGCGGUCGGUUAAGUCGGGUGUGAAAUCUCAUAGCCUAACUAUGAUAGGUCAUUCGAAACUAGCCGACUCGAGGACUGGAGAGGAGACUGGAAUGGUUGGUGUAGCAGUGAAAUGCGUAGAGAUCAACCAGAACACCGGUGGCGAAGGCGGGUCUCUGGACAGUUCCUGACGCUCAGGCACGAAAGCUAGGGGAGCAAACGGG